This 305-nucleotide ribosomal RNA is filed under the name uncultured bacterium. RNAcentral describes it as "bacterial SSU rRNA". It matches the Rfam family "Bacterial small subunit ribosomal RNA", at positions 333 to 635 of the family's 1533-position model. The record is from RNAcentral.
UUUGGCCUACGGGAGGCAGCAGUGAGGAAUAUUGGUUAAUGGCCGAGAGGCUGAACCAGCCACGUCGCGUGAGGGAAGACGGCCCUACGGGUUGUAAACCUCUUUUGUCGGGGAGCAAAGCGAACCACGUGUGGUUCAUUGAGAGUACCCGAAGAAAAAGCAUCGGCUAACUCCGUGCCAGCAGCCGCGGUAAUACGUAGGGGGCAAGCGUUAUCCGGAUUUACUGGGUGUAAAGGGAGCGUAGGUGGCAGGGCAAGUCAGAUGUGAAAACCCGGGGCUCAACUCCGGGAGUGCAUUUGAAACCG